AAAAAGCAGCAAAGUCAGGCGAACCAGGAGCUACAAGAGAGAAGGGGGUGAAGGAGUCAGGAGGAGGGAGUCGGGAGAGCUGUGACCUGGCCGUACCAUCGCAGCCGGGGCUCCUGGAUGUAUGCCACGCAGUUGUGAAG
This is a long non-coding RNA of Phodopus roborovskii (desert hamster), 140 nucleotides long. RefSeq lists it as uncharacterized. The transcript is spliced from 2 exons. The record is from RefSeq and is a predicted model, not a curated record. Lineage: Eukaryota; Metazoa; Chordata; Mammalia; Rodentia; Cricetidae.